CCCGAUUCUUUUUCUUUUUGCGUUUCCACUUCCCAGCGUGAGGUAUGUAAGUGACUUUUUCUGUCUACUUUUUUCUUUUAUCUUUUCUUAUAUAAGUAAAAACAAUAAAUAACAAAUAUAGUACUAUAAAUCUUUUAACUCUUUAUCCUUCUAUAAUCUAAUAAGUAUUCCAUAUAACUUACAUACUUUAUCAUCCAGUAAUCUAUAUGUUCAUAUAAAUUAGAACAACUUGAAUAUAGUAUUAGUAUCGAGUUCAGUUAA
This 261-nucleotide long non-coding RNA is filed under the name Sorghum bicolor (sorghum). Its description in RNAcentral is "long non-coding RNA (SBIC_LNC015372)". Lineage: Eukaryota; Viridiplantae; Streptophyta; Magnoliopsida; Poales; Poaceae. The record is from RNAcentral.